RNAcentral lists this non-coding RNA (124 nucleotides) under Bdellovibrionales bacterium. Lineage: Bacteria; Pseudomonadati; Bdellovibrionota; Bdellovibrionia; Bdellovibrionales. The record is from RNAcentral.
AAUAAUACUAAACAUUGUUCCCAGGGGAAACCGGUUAAAAUCCGGUACUGUGCCGCAACGGUAAUAAUUUGCUGACAAGUUAGCAAAUUUUAGUCCGACAACCUGGAACAAGCGUACACUUGAU